This 253-nucleotide ribosomal RNA is filed under the name uncultured bacterium. RNAcentral's name for it is "partial 16S ribosomal RNA". It matches the Rfam family "Bacterial small subunit ribosomal RNA", at positions 524 to 776 of the family's 1533-position model. The record is from RNAcentral.
UACGUAGGGGGCAAGCGUUGUUCGGAAUUACUGGGCGUAAAGGGCGCGUAGGCGGCACAGCACGUCGGGAGUGAAAGCCCGGGGCUCAACCCCGGAAUGGCUUUCGAAACUGCUGAGCUAGAGUACAGAAGGGGCAACCGGAAUUCCCAGUGUAGCGGUGAAAUGCGUAGAUAUUGGGAAGAACACCUGAGGCGAAGGCGGGUUGCUGGGCUGAUACUGACGCUGAGGCGCGAAAGCCAGGGGAGCAAACGGG